This 472-nucleotide ribosomal RNA is filed under the name uncultured bacterium. RNAcentral's name for it is "partial 16S ribosomal RNA". It matches the Rfam family "Bacterial small subunit ribosomal RNA", at positions 28 to 507 of the family's 1533-position model. The record is from RNAcentral.
GGCGAACGCUGGCGGCGUGCUUAACACAUGCAAGUCGAACGCUGAAGCUUGGUGCUUGCACUGGGUGGAUGAGUGGCGAACGGGUGAGUAAUACGUGAGUAACCUGCCCUUGACUCUGGGAUAAGCCUGGGAAACUGGGUCUAAUACUGGAUACGACAUGUCACCGCAUGGUGGCGUGUGGAAAGGGUUUUACUGGUUUUGGAUGGGCUCACGGCCUAUCAGCUUGUUGGUGGGGUAAUGGCUCACCAAGGCGACGACGGGUAGCCGGCCUGAGAGGGUGACCGGCCACACUGGGACUGAGACACGGCCCAGACUCCUACGGGAGGCAGCAGUGGGGAAUAUUGCACAAUGGGCGAAAGCCUGAUGCAGCGACGCCGCGUGAGGGAUGACGGCCUUCGGGUUGUAAACCUCUUUCAGCACGGAAGAAGCGAAAGUGACGGUACGUGCAGAAGAAGCGCCGGCUAACUACGUG